This is a long non-coding RNA of Poecilia latipinna (sailfin molly), 897 nucleotides long. RefSeq lists it as uncharacterized. NCBI's taxonomy places the organism in Eukaryota, Metazoa, Chordata, Actinopteri, Cyprinodontiformes, Poeciliidae. The record is from RefSeq and is a predicted model, not a curated record. The transcript has 3 exons.
AACAAGAAACAACAGGCUUCAUGUCAACAUGCAGCAGAAAGUUCAAGACAAACAGAAUUAAAGCUAAAAACUCCUUCAGCUCUGGGACAAAAUGAUGGCGAAAAAACUCAAUCAGUGGUGAAAUGAAAGCAAACUGGAAACUGAUUUUAAAGCCCUUUUUGCACUCCAGGGUCCGGCCUGGCUCGGCCCAGUUCGGUUCAACCUGGUCCCAUUGGUGUCAUGGCCCUGGUCGUUUUGCAUUGAGGAGGAUACAUCACGUACAUCGACCCGUUGCUAAAGCUACCGAGGCGAUCUCCCCAGUGACAGCAGAACAGUUUUCUUCUUGGGUCUCCCGUCCUGCUUUUUCUCAUGAGCGAGGAAGCUGAGGAAAACAUUUACCUCAGCUUUACAUUUAACGAAAAAAUUAAUAAAUAAAUAAAUCUCAUCUUAAUGUCGUCUCUGAGCUGGACUCGCAGCCAGCUGAACUACCGCUGCGGCAGCAGGAUUUCCCGGCUGGAACGAUGCCAGAUGCAGAAAUCCCCUCUUUCACAGCCUAAACGACUUCCGAUUGGUUCAUUUGGAGAAAUGUUAUUUACAUUUACCAUUAAAAUCUUUGGCUGAAGAGGCAAAUGUAAUUGCAGUGUAGGGUAAGAAUAGAUUAUGACGGGAAUUUAUUGAUGCAGCAUAUUGAAAUGACAGCCAUCAGCGCUCCUCUGAUCCAGAGAUCUGGUCUUUGUCCCGCCCCAACAGCCAAUGAACCAAUCAACAGCUAACUCCAAACCGGCCUGGUCUGGCUGGCCCGAUUGGAACCACAGCUCUCUGGGCUCCAGGGAACCGGGCGGUACCGGGCUGGAAGCGCUAAUGCAAAAACGAUAGCCAGGCCGACCCGGGUCCAGCUGUGCAGUACGAGUGCACGAG